GAUGAGAUAGCUAACUCGGUAAAGCGGCAGACUGUUAAUCUGUGAUAUUAGGGUUCAAAUCCCUAUCUCAUCGCCA
Molecule: transfer RNA, 76 nt
Filed under: Klebsiella pneumoniae
Lineage: Bacteria; Pseudomonadati; Pseudomonadota; Gammaproteobacteria; Enterobacterales; Enterobacteriaceae
Also listed under: 2 other names
Description: tRNA-Asn
Rfam family: tRNA
About the family: Transfer RNA (tRNA) molecules are approximately 80 nucleotides in length. Their secondary structure includes four short double-helical elements and three loops (D, anti-codon, and T loops).
Source: RNAcentral